Molecule: long non-coding RNA, 901 nt
Filed under: Erythranthe guttata (spotted monkey flower)
Lineage: Eukaryota; Viridiplantae; Streptophyta; Magnoliopsida; Lamiales; Phrymaceae
Description: long non-coding RNA (EGUT_LNC003882)
Source: RNAcentral
UCUGAUCAGUGUUAUAGUACUGAAUAUCAUAAUGAGAAUCAUAAUCCUAUAACAUAGAAUCUGAAUAUCAGGAUUAACUAAUAUUAUUAUCUCUAACACUACAAAAAUUAAAGAAGAUGAUUCCCUCCCAUCAUAUUCUAGAUGACUUGAAUCAACAAUGAAAUUAAUGAUUCAAAGCAACUGCAUAAGCAACCUGCAAGUACAAAAAUACACAUUACUGAGUGCAAUAAGAAACCAAGUUAUAAUAACAUUACUUUCAGUGAUGAGUAAACAUAUAAAAACAAAACGCAACAUAAGAUCUCCCAUAAAAGUGUAGCUCUCAUCAAUAAGUACCACAAACAAUUGAAAAACUUAUAAUAUACCGUAACAAGCACUUAAGAAAAAUGGGAAUAACAAAGAAGAAUUUGAAUGGUAUUGAAAGAUUAAGAUUAAUAAAACUAUUUGUAUUCUUAACCAUUUACAAAUGUAACUUUAUCAACUUUCCCCCUUUGACUCAUCCAAGUAACAACCAAAUAAUAGUGAUCAACUCUUAUUUUUCAGCAAAAACAAAACAUAGCAGAAGGUUCUAGUUACCAUUAUUGAGAUUCAAUGGGAAAUGAGCAAGAUAUCCAAAUAAAUGAUUAUUCUUUUCACUUUAAUUCUCUCCAAAGAUCAAUUUUCUUUAAGCAUAAACAACUGAUAACCAAAUAUAAUAGACAACUCGAUAUAAUAGCCAACGAACAUAAGUUCAUAAUAUAUAAACGAAAAUAAGUUACAGAAAACAGGAGAAAAAGAAAGCAUACGAAAGAAAGAGGCAAUCGAUAACAAGUUAAAAAACAAGGGAAAAAGGGAAAAUAUACCAAUGAAAGAGGGCAAUUGGUAUGUACUCGAAGAGCCUUUCCAAUUAUCUCAAUAUCAGAGG